CAAAUAGAUCGCUAGGGUUCCGGCGUUAUAGACAACGUGACUGGUCCGAGAGCAAUCGACCUUCAUUCGGAGGUUACACGGCGGGAUAAAAGCCCGGGAGGU
This 102-nucleotide small RNA is filed under the name marine metagenome. RNAcentral describes it as "Marine metagenome Guanidine-I sequence". It matches the Rfam family "Guanidine-I riboswitch aptamer". From Rfam's summary of the family: This family represents a conserved RNA structure found upstream of the ykkC and yxkD genes in Bacillus subtilis and related genes in other bacteria. The record is from Rfam by way of RNAcentral.